This 327-nucleotide ribosomal RNA is filed under the name uncultured Pediococcus sp. RNAcentral's name for it is "bacterial SSU rRNA". It matches the Rfam family "Bacterial small subunit ribosomal RNA", at positions 1051 to 1378 of the family's 1533-position model. Lineage: Bacteria; Bacillati; Bacillota; Bacilli; Lactobacillales; Lactobacillaceae. The record is from RNAcentral.
GUCGUCAGCUCGUGUCGUGAGAUGUUGGGUUAAGUCCCGCAACGAGCGCAACCCUUAUUAUUAGUUGCCAGCAUUAAGUUGGGCACUCUAGUGAGACUGCCGGUGACAAACCGGAGGAAGGUGGGGACGACGUCAAAUCAUCAUGCCCCUUAUGACCUGGGCUACACACGUGCUACAAUGGACGGUACAACGAGUUGCGAGACCGCGAGGUUUAGCUAACCUCUUAAAGCCGUUCUCAGUUCGGAUUGUAGGCUGCAACUCGCCUACAUGAAGUUGGAAUCGCUAGUAAUCGCGGAUCAGCAUGCCGCGGUGAAUACGUUCCCGGGA